RNAcentral lists this ribosomal RNA (854 nucleotides) under uncultured bacterium. Its description in RNAcentral is "bacterial SSU rRNA". It matches the Rfam family "Bacterial small subunit ribosomal RNA", at positions 43 to 904 of the family's 1533-position model. The record is from RNAcentral.
CAGGCCUAACACAUGCAAGUCGAGGGGUAUAGUUCUUCGGAGCUAGAGACCGGCGCACGGGUGCGUAACGCGUAUGCAAUCUACCUUUUACAGAGGGAUAGCCCAGAGAAAUUUGGAUUAAUACCUCAUAGUAUUAUGAAAUGGCAUCAUUUUAUAAUUAAAGUCACAACGGUAAAAGAUGAGCAUGCGUCCCAUUAGCUAGUUGGUAAGGUAACGGCUUACCAAGGCGACGAUGGGUAGGGGUCCUGAGAGGGAGAUCCCCCACACUGGUACUGAGACACGGACCAGACUCCUACGGGAGGCAGCAGUGAGGAAUAUUGGUCAAUGGAGGCAACUCUGAACCAGCCAUGCCGCGUGCAGGAUGACGGUCCUAUGGAUUGUAAACUGCUUUUGUACAGGAAGAACCCUUGCUCGUGAGCAAGAUUGACGGUACUGUAAGAAUAAGGAUCGGCUAACUCCGUGCCAGCAGCCGCGGUAAUACGGAGGAUCCAAGCGUUAUCCGGAAUCAUUGGGUUUAAAGGGUCCGUAGGCGGCCUAGCAAGUCAGUGGUGAAAUCUCCCCGCUCAACGGGGAAACGGCCAUUGAUACUACUAGGCUUGAAUUAUUAGGAAGUAACUAGAAUAUGUAGUGUAGCGGUGAAAUGCUUAGAUAUUACAUGGAAUACCAAUUGCGAAGGCAGGUUACUACUAAUGGAUUGACGCUGAUGGACGAAAGCGUGGGGAGCGAACAGGAUUAGAUACCCUGGUAGUCCACGCCGUAAACGAUGGAUACUAGCUGUUGGGAGCAAUCUCAGUGGCUAAGCGAAAGUGAUAAGUAUCCCACCUGGGGAGUACGAACGCAAGUUUGAAACUCAA